Molecule: ribosomal RNA, 279 nt
Filed under: uncultured bacterium
Lineage: Bacteria
Description: partial 16S ribosomal RNA
Rfam family: Bacterial small subunit ribosomal RNA
Source: RNAcentral
UGCCAGCCGCCGCGGUAAGACGAAGGGUGCAAGCGUUGUUCGGAUUUAUUGGGCGUAAAGAGCGCGCAGGCGGAUUAGUAUGUCAGGUGUGAAAUCUCGGGGCUCAACCCCGAAACUGCGCCUGAAACUGCAAAUCUAGAAUACUGGAGAGGGAAGGGGAAUUUCUCAUGUAGGGGUAAAAUCCGUAGAGAUGAGAAGGAACACUCGAGGCGAAGGCGCCUUCCUGGACAGUUAUUGACGCUGAGGCGCGAAAGCGUGGGGAGCAAACAGGAUUAGAUA